AUUUCAUGUUACACUACUAUUGUAGUUCAGUGGAAAUAGCUAUACUAUUAGGUUGGUACUGAUAUAAUACUAGUUGUGAACAUCCAGCCAAAGGAGCUGGUUAAUUCCUGAAAACAGCAAAUCAAAAAUCCUUUUUCAGUUACUGGACUAUACAGAAAUAUCUCAAGCCUUAAAUUUAGUAAUUAAGAAUGUGAUCUUCUGAAGUUUGGGGAUGGAUGUUUCUUUAUGUCAAGACUGGCUGUAUAUGA
Long non-coding RNA from Dipodomys spectabilis (banner-tailed kangaroo rat), 248 nucleotides. RefSeq lists it as uncharacterized. The record is from RefSeq and is a predicted model, not a curated record. The transcript has 3 exons. Lineage: Eukaryota; Metazoa; Chordata; Mammalia; Rodentia; Heteromyidae.